RNA transcript from Cercocebus atys (sooty mangabey), 2099 nucleotides. It is a transcript of the gene named actin, cytoplasmic 2-like, with no coding region annotated. The transcript has a single exon. The record is from RefSeq and is a predicted model, not a curated record. Lineage: Eukaryota; Metazoa; Chordata; Mammalia; Primates; Cercopithecidae.
GUUGGUCUCGAAUUCCUCAAGCUCAAGCAAUCUUCCCGCCUUGGCCUCCCAAAGUGCUGAGAUGAUGGGCAUAAGCUGCUAUGCCUGCCUGGUACCCCAGUUUUGAUAUGCAUUUUCCUGAUGGUUAAUGACGUUGAGUAUCAUGUAGUCACCGCUGCCAGCCCGUGCACUGUGUCCCCCCACUGUGCUGCCACCCUGCUCCUCCGCCUGUCACAAUGGAAGAAGAGAUUGCCACUCUGGUCAUUGACAAUGUCUCUGGCAUGUGCAAAGCUGGAUUUGCUGGGGACGACGCCCCCCGAGCUGUGUUCCCCUCCAUCCUCAGGCACCCCUGGCACCAGGGCAUGAUGGUGGGCAUGGGCCAGAAGGACUCCUAUGUGGGUGAUGAGGCCCAAAGCAAGCAUGGCAUCCUGACCCUGAAGAUUGGGACUCUGACCCCAUCAAGCAUGGCAUCAUCAUCAACUGGGAUGAUAUGAAGAUUUGGCACCACACCUUCUACAGUGAGCUGCGUGUGGCCCCGGAGGAGCACCUGGUGCUGCUGACAGAGGCCCUUGUGAACCCCAAGGCCAACAGAGAGAAGAUGACCCAGAUCAUGUUUGAGACCUUCAACACCCUGUCCAUGUACGUGGCCAUCCAGGCCGUGCUAUCUCUCUAUGCCUCUGGACGCACCACUGGCAUUGUUUUGGACCCUGGAGAUGGGGUCAUCCACACGGUGCCCAUCUGCAAGGGCUAUACCCUCCCCCACAUCAUCCUAUGUCUGGACCUGGCUGGUGGGGACCUGACUGACUACCUCAUGAAGAUCCUCACUGAGCGCGGCUACAGCUUCACCACCAUGGCUGAGUGGGAGAUCGUGGGUGACAUCAAGGAGAAGCUGUGCUAUGUCACCCUGGACUUCGAACAGGAGAUGGCCACUGCUGCAUCCUCCUCCUCCCUGGAGAAGAGCUAGGAGCUGUACAAUGGCCUGGUCAUCAUCAUCAGCAACGAGUGGUCCUGGUGUCUGGAGGCACUGUUACAGCCUUCGUUCCUAGGCAUGGAAUCUUGCAGCAUGCAUGAGACCACCUUCAACUCCAUCAUGAAGUGUGAUGUGGACAUCUGCAAAUACCUACAUGUCAACAAGGUGCUGUUCGGUGCCACCACCAUGUACCCAGGCAUCGCCAACAGGAUGCAGAAGGUGAUCACCGCCCUGGCACCUGGCACCAUGAAGAUCAAGAUCAUUGCGCCCCCAGAGCGCAAGUACUCUGUGUGCAUCCGUGGCUCCAUCCUGGCCUCACUGUCCGCCUUCCAGCAGAUGUGGAUUAGCAAGCAGGAGUACAAUGAGUUGGUCCCUCCAUCGUCCACUGCAUAUGCUUCUAAAUGGACUGCAAACAGAUGCAUAGCAUUUGCUGCAUGGCUUAAUUCAGAAGCAUAAAUUUGCCCCUGCCAAAUGCAUACACUUCAUGCUAGCCUCAUGAAACUGGAAUAAGCCUUCAAAAAGAAAUUGUCCUUGAAGCUUGUAUCUGAUAUCAGCAGUUGAUUGUAGAACUUGUUGCUGAUUUUGACCUUAUGUUCAAGUUAACUGUUCCCCCUUGGUAUCUGUAGAAUACCUAUCCAUAUCUUUGAUUUCACCCCUUAGUACAUGUGGCUUGGUCACUUUGUGGCUAAUGUAAGAACGUGCUUGUGGAAGACAAGUCUGUGGCUUGGUGAGUCUACAUGGCCAGCAGUCUCCGAUCUGUGCAGGGUAUUAAUGUGUCAGGGCUGAGUGUUCUGGGAUUUCUCUAGAGGCUGGCAAGGGCUCCUGAACCAGUGGUUUCUGUCCCGCCAGUCUGUCAGGGUUGGAAAAGUCCAAGCCACAGGACCCAGUUUCCUUUCUUAGCUGAUGUUUUCCUGCCAGAACACCGUGGGCUGUUAACUUGCCUUGAGUUGGAAGCAGUUUGUAUUUUCACCUGUAAAUGUAUUAAUCCUUUUAAUUUAUGUAAGGUUUUUUUGUAUACAAUUCUCAAUUCUUGAAAGAGAUGACAACAAAUUUUGGUUUUCUACUGUUACAUGAGAAUAUUAGGCCCCAGCAACUUGUCAUUGUGUAAGGAAAAAUAAAAGUGCUGCCGUAAAAAAAAAAAAAAAUCUUU